RNAcentral lists this long non-coding RNA (778 nucleotides) under Phasianus colchicus (ring-necked pheasant). RNAcentral describes it as "lncRNA (ENSPCLG00000001364.1)". Lineage: Eukaryota; Metazoa; Chordata; Aves; Galliformes; Phasianidae. The record is from RNAcentral.
CCGAGCCGUGCCAGCUGUCAGCAGCCCUCACCCUGGCGCAUUUAAACAGCACAGUCUGCGAGCGCUUUGCCCUUAACACCUCCGAGUCUCAUUAAGCAUUACCACAUCCUAAAAGGCCGUCUUUAUUAAUAGGCAAGGAGAACGGGAGCGGUAGCAUUCCUUAUUUACGGUACGAACGCAGGUCGCCAGGCGCCCGCCCUCCAAGGGCCAGCAGGUGGCGCCGCGGGCCCAGGCUGAGGCUGAGGUCUCCGCCUGCGGGAAGCCGGCGGCGCCCGGCCCGCUCUGCGAAGCGCUACGCCCGCGGGUCGGUGGCGCUUCCGGCGGUUGUCAAAGAAACUGAACGGGAAAAAGAACACAGUGACACCGACUGGAGUCCCCGAGGAGACAGUGCCAAAGCUGCCGAGUGACCAACGUGUUCCAAUCAGCGCGAGGAAGCAGAGGACGGCUUGCUGCUUCCAGCUGCAACCAGAAACUGCGGAGAGCAACAGCUCCUGGGAGCCGGCAUGGAAGAGGCUGAGCGUGGGCCACCAGGACCAUCUUACAGCAUACUUGGAGAAGUGGGUCCGAAGUCCAGUGUUAGGUGGCAUGGAGCCCCUCCCAGCAAGAUGUGGAGGAAGGCAGGCUAGCUACAUAAAGGCAAAGAGAAGAGACACUGAAAGGUGAAUAGUGACCACUUGGGCCUGUAACCAUGGCAAAUGGGUUGCUGUUCUUAAGAGCAGCUGAAGAAAUGAAAUUGUGCUUGACUAGUGAAUAAAGGAAGGAUGAGUUGGUGCUAACA